Molecule: ribosomal RNA, 484 nt
Filed under: uncultured bacterium
Lineage: Bacteria
Description: bacterial SSU rRNA
Rfam family: Bacterial small subunit ribosomal RNA
Source: RNAcentral
UCAGAUUGAACGCUGGCGGCAUGCCUUACACAUGCAAGUCGAACGGCAGCGGACCUUCGGGUGCCGGCGAGUGGCGAACGGGUGAGUAAUGCAUCGGAACGUGCCAUUGAGUGGGGAUAACGUAGCGAAAGUUGCGCUAAUACCGCAUAUUCUGUGAGCAGGAAAGCAGGGGACCGCAAGGCCUUGCGCUCUUUGAGCGGCCGAUGUCAGAUUAGCUAGUUGGUGAGGUAACGGCUUACCAAGGCGACGAUCUGUAGCGGGUCUGAGAGGAUGAUCCGCCACACUGGAACUGAGACACGGUCCAGACUCCUACGGGAGGCAGCAGUGGGGAAUUUUGGACAAUGGGGCAACCCUGAUCCAGCCAUGCCGCGUGAGUGAAGAAGGCCUUCGGGUUGUAAAGCUCUUUCGGCCGGGAAGAAAUCGCAUGGGUGAAUACCCUGUGUGGAUGACGGUACCGGAACAAGAAGCACCGGCUAACUACGUG